UACAGAGGUCUCAAGCGUUGUUCGGAUUCAUUGGGCGUAAAGGGUGCGUAGGCGGCGCGGUAAGUCGGGUGUGAAAUUUCGGAGCUUAACUCCGAAACUGCAUUCGAUACUGCCGUGCUUGAGGACUGGAGAGGAGACUGGAAUUUACGGUGUAGCGGUGAAAUGCGUAGAUAUCAGGAGGAACACCGAUGGCGAAGGCAGGUCUCUGGGCUGACACUGACGCUCAUGCACGAAAGCGUGGGGAGCAAACAGG
RNAcentral lists this ribosomal RNA (253 nucleotides) under uncultured bacterium. RNAcentral describes it as "partial 16S ribosomal RNA". It matches the Rfam family "Bacterial small subunit ribosomal RNA", at positions 524 to 776 of the family's 1533-position model. The record is from RNAcentral.